UGGCGAACGGGUGAGUAACACGUGGGUGAUCUGCCUUGCACUCUGGGAUAAGCUUGGGAAACUGGGUCUAAUACCGGAUAGGAACCGUCUUUAGUGUGGUGGUUGGAAAGUUUUUUCGGUGCAAGAUGAGCUCGCGGCCCAUCAGCUUGUUGGUGGGGUAAUGGCCUACCAAGGCGUCGACGGGUAGCCGGCCUGAGAGGGUGUACGGCCACAUUGGGACUGAGAUACGGCCCAG
RNAcentral lists this ribosomal RNA (235 nucleotides) under uncultured Actinomycetales bacterium. RNAcentral's name for it is "partial 16S ribosomal RNA". It matches the Rfam family "Bacterial small subunit ribosomal RNA", at positions 96 to 334 of the family's 1533-position model. Lineage: Bacteria; Bacillati; Actinomycetota; Actinomycetes; Actinomycetales. The record is from RNAcentral.